Molecule: ribosomal RNA, 320 nt
Filed under: uncultured eukaryote
Lineage: Eukaryota
Description: partial 18S ribosomal RNA
Rfam family: Eukaryotic small subunit ribosomal RNA
Source: RNAcentral
CCCUUAGAUGUUCUGGGCCGCACGCGUGCUACACUGAGUGGAUCAGCGGGUCAGGUUGCGCGAAAGUGUUUCCUAAUCUUGAAAUCCGCUCGUGAUGGGGAUUGACGGUUGCAAUUUUCCGUCAUGAACGAGGAAUACCUUGUAAGCGCGGGUCAUCAUCCCGCGCUGAAUACGUCCCUGCCCUUUGUACACACCGCCCGUCGCUCCUACCGAUUGAGUGGUCCGGUGAAGUCUCGAGAUUGUGGCAAUCUCCUUUAUUGGAGUUUGACUGCGAGAACUUGCCUAAACCUUAUCACUUAGAGGAAGGUGAAGUCGUAACA